CCUACGGGAGGCAGCAGUGAGGAAUAUUGGGCAAUGGGCGAAAGCCUGACCCAGCCACGCCGCGUGUGUGAUGAAGGCCUUCGGGUCGUAAAGCACUGUGGGGAGAGACGAAAAAGCGCAUGAGGAAAUGCUUGCGCCUUGACGGUACCUCCUUAGCAAGCACCGGCUAACUCUGUGCCAGCAGCCGCGGUAAUACAGAGGGUGCGAACGUUGCUCGGAUUUACUGGGCGUAAAGCGCGUGUAGGCGGACUCGCAAGUCGGUUGUGAAAUCCCUGGGCUCAACCUAGGAACUGCAUCCGAAACUGCUUGUCUUGAGUAAUGGAGAGGGUGGCGGAGUUCCCGGUGUAGAGGUGAAAUUCGUAGAUAUCGGGAGGAACAUCAGUGGCGAAGGCGGCCACCUGGACAUUUACUGACGCUGAGACGCGAAAGCGUGGGGAGCAAACAGGAUUAGAUACCCUGGUAGUCCACGCCGUAAACGAUGAGAACUAGGUGCAGCGGAUAUUGACCUCUGCUGUGCCGUAGCUAACGCGUUAAGUUCUCCGCCUGGGGAGUACGGCCGCAAGGCUAAAACUCAAAGGAAUGACGGAAAUUGUCGGCCCGCCGGGCAGCCCGC
Molecule: ribosomal RNA, 613 nt
Filed under: uncultured delta proteobacterium
Lineage: Bacteria; Deltaproteobacteria
Description: bacterial SSU rRNA
Rfam family: Bacterial small subunit ribosomal RNA
Source: RNAcentral